GGAGUCACGCCAGAAAUCUUACCCGGAGAGACAGCAGAAUGAAGGUCAAGCUGAAGACUUUACCAGACAAGCUGAGAGGUGGUGCAUGGCCGUCGCCAGCUCGUGCCGUGAGAUGUCCUGUUAAGUCAGGUAACGAGCGAGAUCCCUGCCUCUAGUUGCCACCAUUACUCUCAGGAGUAGUGGGGCGAAUUAGCGGGACCGCCGCAGUUAAUGCGGAGGAAGGAAGGGGCCACGGCAGGUCAGUAUGCCCCGAAACUCUGGGGCCACACGCGGGCUGCAAUGGUAGCGACAAUUGGUUUCGAAUCCGAAAGGAUGAGGUAAUCCACAAACGCUACCACAGUUAUGACUGAGGGCUGCAACUCGCCCUCACGAAUAUGGAAUCCCUAGUAACUGCGUGUCAUUAUCGCGCGGUGAAUACGUCCCUGCUCCUUGCACACACCGCCCGUCGUUUCAUUGAAGUGAGCUUUUAGCGAGGUGACGUCUGGUUGGCGUUAUCGAACUUGAGGUUCGUGACAAGGGAAAAGCCGUAACAAGGUGACCGUAGGGGAACCUGCGGUCGGAUCA
RNAcentral lists this ribosomal RNA (564 nucleotides) under uncultured crenarchaeote. RNAcentral's name for it is "bacterial SSU rRNA". It matches the Rfam family "Archaeal small subunit ribosomal RNA", at positions 908 to 1472 of the family's 1478-position model. The record is from RNAcentral. Lineage: Archaea; Thermoproteati; Thermoproteota.